RNAcentral lists this ribosomal RNA (393 nucleotides) under uncultured bacterium. RNAcentral describes it as "partial 16S ribosomal RNA". It matches the Rfam family "Bacterial small subunit ribosomal RNA", at positions 523 to 918 of the family's 1533-position model. The record is from RNAcentral.
AUACGGAGGACGCGAGCGUUAUCCGGAUUCAUUGGGUUUAAAGGGUGCGCAGGCGGCCGUGCAAGUCAGCGGUGAAAGCCCGGGGCUCAACACCGGAAGUGCCGUUGAUACUGCAUGGCUGGAAUGCGGUCGAGGCGGGCGGAACGUGGCGUGUAGCGGGGAAAUGCGUAGAUAUGCCACAGAACGCCGAUAGCGGAGGAAGCUCGCCAGGCCUGCAUUGACGCUCGGGCACGAAAGCGUGGGGAUCGAACAGGAUUAGAUACCCUGGUAGUCCACGCCGUAAACGAUGGGCGCUCGUCGUCGGCGGCAGACAGUCGGCGGCCAAGCGAAAGCGAUAAGCGCCCCACCUGGGGAGUACGGUCGCAAGGCUGAAACUCAAAUGAAUUGACGGGG